GUGGAUUAGAUACCCUGGUAGUCCACGCCGUAAACGAUGCUAACUCGUUUUUGGGCUUUAGGGUUCAGAGACUAAGCGAAAGUGAUAAGUUAGCCACCUGGGGAGUACGUUCGCAAGAAUGAAACUCAAAGGAAUUGACGGGGGCCCGCACAAGCGGUGGAUUAUGUGGUUUAAUUCGAUGAUACGCGAGGAACCUUACCAAGGCUUAAAUGGGAAUUGACCGGUUUAGAAAUAGACCUUCCUUCGGGCAAUUUUCAAGGUGCUGCACGGUUGUCGACAACU
RNAcentral lists this ribosomal RNA (282 nucleotides) under uncultured bacterium. Its description in RNAcentral is "partial 16S ribosomal RNA". It matches the Rfam family "Bacterial small subunit ribosomal RNA", at positions 773 to 1060 of the family's 1533-position model. The record is from RNAcentral.